UACGUAGGUGGCAAGCGUUAUCCGGAUUUAUUGGGCGUAAAGGGAACGCAGGCGGUCUUUUAAGUCUGAUGUGAAAGCCUUCGGCUUAACCGGAGUAGUGCAUUGGAAACUGCCGGGCUGGAGUGCAGGAGGGGCAGGCGGAAUUCCUAGUGUAGCGGUGAAAUGCGUAGAUAUUAGGAGGAACACCAGUGGCGAAGGCGGCCUGCUGGACUGCAACUGACGUUGAGGCUCGAAGGCGUGGGGAGCAAACAGG
RNAcentral lists this ribosomal RNA (253 nucleotides) under uncultured bacterium. RNAcentral's name for it is "partial 16S ribosomal RNA". It matches the Rfam family "Bacterial small subunit ribosomal RNA", at positions 524 to 776 of the family's 1533-position model. The record is from RNAcentral.